RNAcentral lists this unclassified non-coding RNA (331 nucleotides) under fungal sp. RNAcentral's name for it is "partial internal transcribed spacer region". The stretch from base 1 to 46 matches the Rfam family "Eukaryotic small subunit ribosomal RNA", at positions 1786 to 1831 of the family's 1831-position model. Lineage: Eukaryota; Fungi. The record is from RNAcentral.
AAGUCGUAACAAGGUUUCCGUAGGUGAACCUGCGGAAGGAUCAUUAAAGUAUAUGUGUUUUACCAUGUGCAGAGUUGGGGGAGGUGGUUUUUGAUGUUUGAAUGAUUUAUAUUUGAUGUUAUGUUAUAAUAAGUUAUUUCAAGUUAUUUCACCAUAAUUCAAUCUGUCAACAUUAUUAUGAUUGAUGUGUUAAUUUAUGUUACUCUGUAAUUUAUAUUUAACUCGUCUUUCAUCAUAAUUCAAUCAUUCUCAUCUAUCCCCCCAUCAUAUAUACUAUUCGUCAAAUCUUAACAACAAAUAAUAAUUUGCGGCAAUGGAUCUCUAGGCUCUU